AAGAACCAAGGCUGACAAGACAUUAGCAAGCAAUUCAUAGAAUCAUCACUAGACACAUUGGCCGAUAGUAAGAGAAGACAUGCAGCAAGCAAUUUCAGUUAACAAGAAAGAAAUUACUGUUUAAAGCAUCAUAAGCCAUCUGAUUGCUAGCAUUGGACAUAAAUGGGAAGAUAUAAAUUGACAUUUUGUCCUAGUUUCACUGUUUUCAUCAGAACCAAACCGGAGAAACAUACUCAAUUUCUACUUAGCAAAACAGAAGAAAAGGCCAAUUCAGUAAGGACAGAACUCCUUUUCAACAUUUUAAAUCUAAUAAGUUCAACUUUCAAUUGUCUAAAUUUUGAACCCAUUCUCAGUAUUUCAAAUCUAAAAGGUCUAAACUUCCAAUCAUUUAAUUUUUCUCUUCAUAUCUAAAUUUCAAAUUAUACUGCUCCAUAUCUCUUGAUGUUUUUUUGGAUAUCAACCAAUAAAAGGUUAAAAAGCAAAAGGACAGCUAGACAUUAUACCUAAGUGGGAGUAA
RNAcentral lists this long non-coding RNA (517 nucleotides) under Musa acuminata (dwarf banana). RNAcentral's name for it is "long non-coding RNA (MACU_LNC001113)". Lineage: Eukaryota; Viridiplantae; Streptophyta; Magnoliopsida; Zingiberales; Musaceae. The record is from RNAcentral.